UACGGAGGGUGCAAACGUUGUCCGGAAUCACUGGGCGUAAAGAGCAUGUAGGUGGUUUGGUAAGUGGGUGAUUAAAGACCGAUGCUUAACAUCGGGACUGUUGUCCAUACUGCCUAACUUGAGGGUAACAGGGGUAAGCGGAACUUUAGGUGUAGGAGUGAAAUCCGUAGAUAUCUAAAGGAACACCAAUGGCGAAGGCAGCUUACUGGGUUAUUUCUGACACUGAGAUGCGAAAGCGUGGGGAGCAAACGGG
Molecule: ribosomal RNA, 253 nt
Filed under: uncultured bacterium
Lineage: Bacteria
Description: partial 16S ribosomal RNA
Rfam family: Bacterial small subunit ribosomal RNA
Source: RNAcentral